Molecule: long non-coding RNA, 396 nt
Organism: Vicia villosa (hairy vetch)
Lineage: Eukaryota; Viridiplantae; Streptophyta; Magnoliopsida; Fabales; Fabaceae
Exons: 2
Source: RefSeq, a predicted model, not a curated record
UAUAAAUAUCUCUAGAUGAAGCAUGAAAUUUUAAAUAUAAGUUAUACAAGCUAAUUCUAUCUGAAACAUACAAAUGAGAAAAAAUAUCGUUAAGGUUUUCAAAAUUGUUUAUGUUAUGAUUAUUUUUAUUUGUCUCCUUCUUUAUGCAAAUGAAGGUUACGUUACAGAUGUUCGAUGUGGAAGACGUCUAGAUUGUCCUAAAACUUUGUGUGAUCAUGGUUUUAAACGAAAAUGUAAUGGAGCAGGUUUUUGUACAUGUGUUUCAAGAUAUCAUGGUUCCAUCCAAUAAUUAAAUUUUUUAUUUAAUUUUAUAUAAUUUUUUCAAACUUGUAGUUACUACUUUGCACAUUAAAAUGAUACAAAUAGAAUGAAAUAAAAUAUAAAUGACUAAUAGAA